UUAAGCGACUAAGCGUACACGGUGGAUGCCCUGGCAGUCAGAGGCGAUGAAGGACGUGCUAAUCUGCGAUAAGCGUCGGUAAGGUGAUAUGAACCGUUAUAACCGGCGAUUUCCGAAUGGGGAAACCCAGUGUGUUUCGACACACUAUCAUUAACUGAAUCCAUAGGUUAAUGAGGCGAACCGGGGGAACUGAAACAUCUAAGUACCCCGAGGAAAAGAAAUCAACCGAGAUUCCCCCAGUAGCGGCGAGCGAACGGGGAGGAGCCCAGAGCCUGAAUCAGUGUGUGUGUUAGUGGAAGCGUCUGGAAAGGCGCGCGAUACAGGGUGACAGCCCCGUACACAAAAAUGCACAUGCUGUGAGCUCGAUGAGUAGGGCGGGACACGUGGUAUCCUGUCUGAAUAUGGGGGGACCAUCCUCCAAGGCUAAAUACUCCUGACUGACCGAUAGUGAACCAGUACCGUGAGGGAAAGGCGAAAAGAACCCCGGCGAGGGGAGUGAAAAAGAACCUGAAACCGUGUACGUACAAGCAGUGGGAGCACGCUUAGGCGUGUGACUGCGUACCUUUUGUAUAAUGGGUCAGCGACUUAUAUUCUGUAGCAAGGUUAACCGAAUAGGGGAGCCGAAGGGAAACCGAGUCUUAACUGGGCGUUAAGUUGCAGGGUAUAGACCCGAAACCCGGUGAUCUAGCCAUGGGCAGGUUGAAGGUUGGGUAACACUAACUGGAGGACCGAACCGACUAAUGUUGAAAAAUUAGCGGAUGACUUGUGGCUGGGGGUGAAAGGCCAAUCAAACCGGGAGAUAGCUGGUUCUCCCCGAAAGCUAUUUAGGUAGCGCCUCGUGAAUUCAUCUCCGGGGGUAGAGCACUGUUUCGGCAAGGGGGUCAUCCCGACUUACCAACCCGAUGCAAACUGCGAAUACCGGAGAAUGUUAUCACGGGAGACACACGGCGGGUGCUAACGUCCGUCGUGAAGAGGGAAACAACCCAGACCGCCAGCUAAGGUCCCAAAGUCAUGGUUAAGUGGGAAACGAUGUGGGAAGGCCCAGACAGCCAGGAUGUUGGCUUAGAAGCAGCCAUCAUUUAAAGAAAGCGUAAUAGCUCACUGGUCGAGUCGGCCUGCGCGGAAGAUGUAACGGGGCUAAACCAUGCACCGAAGCUGCGGCAGCGACGCUUAUGCGUUGUUGGGUAGGGGAGCGUUCUGUAAGCCUGUGAAGGUGUGCUGUGAGGCAUGCUGGAGGUAUCAGAAGUGCGAAUGCUGACAUAAGUAACGAUAAAGCGGGUGAAAAGCCCGCUCGCCGGAAGACCAAGGGUUCCUGUCCAACGUUAAUCGGGGCAGGGUGAGUCGACCCCUAAGGCGAGGCCGAAAGGCGUAGUCGAUGGGAAACAGGUUAAUAUUCCUGUACUUGGUGUUACUGCGAAGGGGGGACGGAGAAGGCUAUGUUGGCCGGGCGACGGUUGUCCCGGUUUAAGCGUGUAGGCUGGUUUUCCAGGCAAAUCCGGAAAAUCAAGGCUGAGGCGUGAUGACGAGGCACUACGGUGCUGAAGCAACAAAUGCCCUGCUUCCAGGAAAAGCCUCUAAGCAUCAGGUAACAUCAAAUCGUACCCCAAACCGACACAGGUGGUCAGGUAGAGAAUACCAAGGCGCUUGAGAGAACUCGGGUGAAGGAACUAGGCAAAAUGGUGCCGUAACUUCGGGAGAAGGCACGCUGAUAUGUAGGUGAAGUCCCUCGCGGAUGGAGCUGAAAUCAGUCGAAGAUACCAGCUGGCUGCAACUGUUUAUUAAAAACACAGCACUGUGCAAACACGAAAGUGGACGUAUACGGUGUGACGCCUGCCCGGUGCCGGAAGGUUAAUUGAUGGGGUCAGCGCAAGCGAAGCUCUUGAUCGAAGCCCCGGUAAACGGCGGCCGUAACUAUAACGGUCCUAAGGUAGCGAAAUUCCUUGUCGGGUAAGUUCCGACCUGCACGAAUGGCGUAAUGAUGGCCAGGCUGUCUCCACCCGAGACUCAGUGAAAUUGAACUCGCUGUGAAGAUGCAGUGUACCCGCGGCAAGACGGAAAGACCCCGUGAACCUUUACUAUAGCUUGACACUGAACAUUGAGCCUUGAUGUGUAGGAUAGGUGGGAGGCUUAGAAGUGUGGACGCCAGUCUGCAUGGAGCCGACCUUGAAAUACCACCCUUUAAUGUUUGAUGUUCUAACGUUGACCCGUAAUCCGGGUUGCGGACAGUGUCUGGUGGGUAGUUUGACUGGGGCGGUCUCCUCCUAAAGAGUAACGGAGGAGCACGAAGGUUGGCUAAUCCUGGUCGGACAUCAGGAGGUUAGUGCAAUGGCAUAAGCCAGCUUGACUGCGAGCGUGACGGCGCGAGCAGGUGCGAAAGCAGGUCAUAGUGAUCCGGUGGUUCUGAAUGGAAGGGCCAUCGCUCAACGGAUAAAAGGUACUCCGGGGAUAACAGGCUGAUACCGCCCAAGAGUUCAUAUCGACGGCGGUGUUUGGCACCUCGAUGUCGGCUCAUCACAUCCUGGGGCUGAAGUAGGUCCCAAGGGUAUGGCUGUUCGCCAUUUAAAGUGGUACGCGAGCUGGGUUUAGAACGUCGUGAGACAGUUCGGUCCCUAUCUGCCGUGGGCGCUGGAGAACUGAGGGGGGCUGCUCCUAGUACGAGAGGACCGGAGUGGACGCAUCACUGGUGUUCGGGUUGUCAUGCCAAUGGCACUGCCCGGUAGCUAAAUGCGGAAGAGAUAAGUGCUGAAAGCAUCUAAGCACGAAACUUGCCCCGAGAUGAGUUCUCCCUGACCCUUUAAGGGUCCUGAAGGAACGUUGAAGACGACGACGUUGAUAGGCCGGGUGUGUAAGCGCAGCGAUGCGUUGAGCUAACCGGUACUAAUGAACCGUGAGGCUUAACCUU
Molecule: ribosomal RNA, 2902 nt
Filed under: Escherichia coli
Lineage: Bacteria; Pseudomonadati; Pseudomonadota; Gammaproteobacteria; Enterobacterales; Enterobacteriaceae
Description: bacterial LSU rRNA
Rfam family: Bacterial large subunit ribosomal RNA
Source: RNAcentral